GCGGGUGUAGCCAAGCGGUAAGGCAAGGGACUUUGACUCCCUGAUGCGUAGGUUCAAAUCCUACCACCCGUGCCA
This 75-nucleotide transfer RNA is filed under the name Caudoviricetes sp. RNAcentral describes it as "tRNA-Gln". It matches the Rfam family "tRNA". Rfam says of the family: Transfer RNA (tRNA) molecules are approximately 80 nucleotides in length. Lineage: Duplodnaviria; Heunggongvirae; Uroviricota; Caudoviricetes. The record is from RNAcentral.